Molecule: ribosomal RNA, 253 nt
Filed under: uncultured bacterium
Lineage: Bacteria
Also listed under: 1 other name
Description: partial 16S ribosomal RNA
Rfam family: Bacterial small subunit ribosomal RNA
Source: RNAcentral
GACGAACCGAGCGAACGUUGUUCGGAAUCACUGGGCUUAAAGGGCGCGUAGGCGGGCUAUCAAGUCCGGGGUGAAAUCCUCCAGCUUAACUGGAGAACUGCCUCGGAUACUGAUGGUCUCGAGGGAGAUAGGGGCAAGCGGAACUGUGGGUGGAGCGGUGAAAUGCGUUGAUAUCCAUAGGAACUCCGGUGGCGAAGGCGGCUUGCUGGAUCUCAUCUGACGCUGAGGCGCGAAAGCCAGGGGAGCAAACGGG